AGCGAACGCUGGCGGCAGGCCUAACACAUGCAAGUCGAACGAACUCUUCGGAGUUAGUGGCGGACGGGUGAGUAACACGUGGGAACGUGCCUUUUGGUUCGGAAUAACUCAGGGAAACUUGUGCUAAUACCGAAUGUGCCCUUCGGGGGAAAGAUUUAUCGCCAUUAGAGCGGCCCGCGUCUGAUUAGCUAGUUGGUGAGGUAACGGCUCACCAAGGCGACGAUCAGUAGCUGGUCUGAGAGGAUGACCAGCGACACUGGGACUGAGACACGGCCCAGACUCCUACGGGAGGCAGCAGUGGGGAAUCUUGCGCAAUGGGCGAAAGCCUGACGCAGCCAUGCCGCGUGAAUGAUGAAGGUCUUAGGAUUGUAAAAUUCUUUCACCGGGGACGAUAAUGACGGUACCCGGAGAAGAAGCCCCGGCUAACUUCGUG
RNAcentral lists this ribosomal RNA (433 nucleotides) under uncultured bacterium. Its description in RNAcentral is "partial 16S ribosomal RNA". It matches the Rfam family "Bacterial small subunit ribosomal RNA", at positions 29 to 507 of the family's 1533-position model. The record is from RNAcentral.